GGCGUGGUAGUAUAGCGGUUAUUACAUUCCCGAGUUUGAGCGAAGAUCCCGGUUCGACUCCUGGUCCGUCA
This 71-nucleotide transfer RNA is filed under the name Podospora comata. Lineage: Eukaryota; Fungi; Ascomycota; Sordariomycetes; Sordariales; Podosporaceae. The record is from RNAcentral.